GGGGUUGUGGCUCAGUGGUAGAGCGCUCGCCUAGCAUGUGUGAGGCCCUGGGUUCGAUCCUCAGCACCACA
Molecule: transfer RNA, 71 nt
Filed under: Marmota monax (woodchuck)
Lineage: Eukaryota; Metazoa; Chordata; Mammalia; Rodentia; Sciuridae
Description: tRNA.Ala
Rfam family: tRNA
About the family: Transfer RNA (tRNA) molecules are approximately 80 nucleotides in length.
Source: RNAcentral